RNAcentral lists this ribosomal RNA (249 nucleotides) under uncultured bacterium. RNAcentral describes it as "partial 16S ribosomal RNA". It matches the Rfam family "Bacterial small subunit ribosomal RNA", at positions 524 to 771 of the family's 1533-position model. The record is from RNAcentral.
UACAGAGGGUGCAAGCGUUGUUCGGAAUUAUUGGGCGUAAAGCGCGUGUAGGCGGCUUUGCAAGUCGGGUGUGAAAGCCCUCAGCUCAACUGAGGAAGUGCGCCCGAAACUGCAGAGCUUGAGUGCCGGAGAGGGUGGCGGAAUUCCCCAAGUAGAGGUGAAAUCGUAGAUAUCUGGAGGAACACCGGUGGCGAAGGCGGCAUCCCUGGACCGGUAUUGACGGCUGAGGCGCGAAAGCUAGGGGAGCAA